UAGUUUGUGAGGUUUGCAGGGACUCGACAUGGGCGCAGCACGUUCAGACAUUCCUGGCCUGUGUUGGUGUUGCGAUUGUCCCCGUCAGUCACAUUGCAGAGUUUUUCCAGUUUUCUGAAACUACGGGACUUGCACAGGUGGAAAAGCUUGUAGUGUUUGUUUGUUUUCUAUGCGAGGGUCUUCCUUUCCUCUGGUGGUGAUCAUGAUUCUCGCCGUUGUUAAUAUGGAGCACUUUGAUACGUUUGAUUUAGGACAAAACUAAGACGUCUUAUAAGAAAGCAUCACUCAUUGUGGCCUUGUCGCCUCUGCAAUCGCGCGCACCACUGCAGCUGCAGCUGCCGUUAGGUGCCGUGUUUCAACACUUUCGGUCGUCGCUGUUGCGCCCCCUUCUUUACCGGCCUUCGUUGCUACGCUUGCCGGCGAUGCAUCCUGCCGCAGGAACCACCAGCGUUGGAGAAAAAGAGGAAGAAAAAAAGAUGCAUGCAAGAUCUGAUACUGCAACCAGGGGAUGGACGAUAUGUGAUGCUGCAACAAGUGGACGGAUGAGAUUUGGUUGUAAAGGGAAUUCACAGGACAUGAGGUUACAGAUCAACCGACUGACCCCUCGUUUUUUCUUUUAAAUUAAUUGAUGCCUCGUUUGAAUGGACUGAAGUAAGAAAUUUCAUUGAAUUGCAUACAAGAUGGAACGCAUAUCAACUAGCAGAAUUUUAAAUCGUAUGGCAACAUUGCAUCAAUAUAAAUUUCAUUGAAUUGCCUACAAGAUGGAACACAUAUCAUUGCAUUGCAUACAAGAUCGAACAUAUACAUUGAAAUGCAUACUAACACCUAUUGUCGACAGUUUUGUGAAGGAGCAAAAGGUGGUCAGUGACGAUGCAGGCCGAGGAACAAGAUACAAUGUGCUUGUCGAUACACGGCGUAGGUCAGUGUUGUAACAACCUAUAUAAAAGCUAGCAUGCACACCAUUUUCCCUAGCUACCUCUUGCAAAAUUUCCAAUCUUAGAGUAUGGGCCGUAUAUGGUGGAUAACCUGCGAAAGAAAAGAGGUGAAUCAGUAAUGUCGUGUCUUAGGGACUCUUCUUCCAAACAAGCUUUUUAUUGAUCAUACAUCUAUAUGUACUAUCGGUUA
Long non-coding RNA from Brachypodium distachyon (stiff brome), 1125 nucleotides. RefSeq lists it as uncharacterized. The record is from RefSeq and is a predicted model, not a curated record. The transcript is spliced from 3 exons. NCBI's taxonomy places the organism in Eukaryota, Viridiplantae, Streptophyta, Magnoliopsida, Poales, Poaceae.